Molecule: ribosomal RNA, 537 nt
Filed under: Tuber sp. 36 GB-2010
Lineage: Eukaryota; Fungi; Ascomycota; Pezizomycetes; Pezizales; Tuberaceae
Description: eukaryotic LSU rRNA
Rfam family: 5.8S ribosomal RNA (bases 101-254)
Source: RNAcentral
UUAUUAUAAUGCGUGGAAUGCCCCUAACAAGGGCUGUCUCUAUAAAACUCUAAACUUACAGUCUGAGAAGGCCAUGUGCCAUAAUCUUUAAACUUUUUAAAACCUUCAACAACGGAUCUCUUGGUUCUCGCAUCGAUGAAGAACGCAGCGAAAUGCGAUAAGUAAUGUGAAUUGCAGAAUUCAGUGAAUCAUCGAAUCUUUGAACGCACAUUGCGCCCUUUGGUAUUCCAUAGGGCAUGCCUGUUCGAGCGUCACUAACAACCCCAUCACAAAAGAGUGUGGUAUUGGCAGAAGUGGGUAGGGCUAGCAGUGCUGGCCCCACUCUGCUGGAAUGAAUAGGCCGGAAAUGUAGACCAUGGUAACAGACUUUCAGAGUAUUUUGCAAUGCUAAAUUAGUUUGUAGGCUUGGUCAGAAUCUAGGCCAUUUGGACCCCCAUUCUGCGUAAAGCAGUAAAUGUUGACCUCGGAUCAGGUAGGGAUACCCGCUGAACUUAAGCAUAUCAAUAAGCGGAGGAAAAGAAACCAACAGGGAUUGCC